Molecule: non-coding RNA, 70 nt
Organism: Podarcis lilfordi (Lilford's wall lizard)
Lineage: Eukaryota; Metazoa; Chordata; Lepidosauria; Squamata; Lacertidae
Source: the annotation of a GenBank genome assembly
UGCCUGUGUGUGUGUGUGUGUGUGUGUGUGUGUGUGCAUACACACAAGCAUACACACACAUAUACAGACG